RNAcentral lists this long non-coding RNA (1776 nucleotides) under Brassica napus (rape). RNAcentral describes it as "long non-coding RNA (BNAP_LNC016095)". Lineage: Eukaryota; Viridiplantae; Streptophyta; Magnoliopsida; Brassicales; Brassicaceae. The record is from RNAcentral.
AUGGUGGAAUAAAUUCCUACUUAUGUUUAAUAUUCUCUUAAAUUAACUAGCAUUACACCAUCUGGGGUAUGUAGGGGAUUUGGAUAAACGUUGUGUGGUGAUAAAUAAUGAGUUCUCUUCGCUUUUUUGACUUUGAGUUAUCUCAGCUACAAUUAGACUGUCGUCAUAUAACAUUUGAGUACCCGGCUAACAUAUUUCAUACAUCUGUAAAGCAAUUUCUAACUGGUUAAGUAAUGUUCAACUCCUUAUAGCUUAAACAACAAACCCUUAAUCCCUUGUACUACAACUGAACUGAACGACAUAAAUACCCCUAAACCCAAAACCUUCAUAUAAUCCUAAACCCUAAGACCAAAACACUAAUCCUAAACUCUAAUCCCUAAACCCUUAUAUAAACCAUUAAUACAUCUAAACCCUAAACCCUUAGACCUAAACACUAAACCAUAAACCCUAAGACCUAAACACUAAACCCUAAACCUUAAACCAUAAACCCUAAUCCCUAAACUGUUAUAUAAACCAUUAAUACAUCUAAACACUAAACUCAAUACCCUAAACCUUAAAUCCUGAUAUAAUCAUGAACCCUGGACCCAAAAACCUAGACCGAAGACGCUAAACCCAAAUCCCUAAACCCUAAUCCCUAAACCCUUAUAUAAUCAUAAACGAUAAACCCUAAACCCUUAUAUUACCCGUAUCCCCACCACCAUAACAAUCUAAAUAUAAGGCUAACUUCAUCUCCCAACAAGCUAUCGUUAGGCUAGGAUGAUCAAUAGGUUAUGCUGCCUGCUAAUCCAGAUCGUAGCCGGGAAGCUCAAUACUUUAGCGCAUUAAUGCUAUUAGUAGACUUUAAACCUCGUUAGACGGCUAAACAUAAGUUUUUAGUAGACAUUGCAGUAAACCUAAACCAUGUACAGACUAUGAACCCCAAACCAUUACACACAUAAAUAACUACAUACCCUAAACCCUAAACCCCUAAAAUCUUAGGAGACAUAAACCCAAAACCUAAACCUAAACCCUAAACCGUAAACCCUAAACCGAAUCACUAUAUACCCUAAACCCUAAACCCCUAAACCCUUAGGAGUCUAUAAACCCUAAACCCGUUAACCCUUAGGAGACCCUACACCCUAAACCCUUAGGAGAGAUAAACCCUAAACAUUAAACCUUGAACCCUAAACCCAAAUCCCAAAACCCUAAUCUCUAAACCCUUAUAUAAUCAUAAACGAUAAACACUAAACCCUUAUAUUACCCGUAUCCCAACCACCAUAACAAUCUAAAUAUAAGGCUAACUUCAUCUCCCAACAAGCUAUCGUUAGGCUUGGAUGAUCAAUAUGUUCUGUAGCCUGCUAAUCCAUAGCAUAACCGGGAAGCUUAAUACUUUAGCGCAUUAAUGCUAUUAGUAGACUUUAUACCUCAUUAAACGGCUAAACCUAAGUUUUUAGUAGGCAUUACAGUUAACCCUAGACCCCGGAGAGACUAUGAACCCCAAACCAUUACACCCUUAAAUAACUAUAUACCCUAAACCCUAAACCCUUAGGCGAUUAUAAACUCUAAACCCUAAACCCAAAAUCGUUAACCCUAUACCCUAAUCACUAUAUACCCUAAACCCUAAACCCGGAUCCCCAAACCCGAAUCACUAUAUACCCUAAACCUUAAACCCUUAAACCCUUAGGACUCUAUAAACCCUAAACCAUAAACCAUAAAUCUGUUAACCCAUAGGAGACCCUACACCUUAAACCCUUAAGAGAGCUUAAACCCUAAACACUAAACCCCGAACCCUAAACC